CAAGAUCUUCAACCUACACACUGGUUCUACGUUGCUCAAAGUUCUCUUGAGCUGACAAUCUCGUGACUCCAGAGGCAGAUAAGAAAGAAGGUCGGAGUCCAAAGACCACUGAAUUUGGAAUCAGAAGCUCAGUUGGAAUCGCAGCUCCGCUCUGUGCUUUUGAUGGAAACCUGAGUGGAACUCACAGUGAAGAAAUUGCUCUCAUCCCUCGCAUAAGUCUUCAUCAAUAUGUAAUCCUAAAGAGUUGUCUGGUACAAUGAAAUAUUCAAUAUGAAGGGACCCAUAGCCCAGACAUGUCAGAUAUAAUUAUGAUGCAUAAGGAUUUCUGCUCCAGCCUUUUACUUUGAAUCUGUGUGUGUCACUCUUCCUCAAAUGUUUUUCUUGUAAACAACAUAUAGUAGGAUUCUGGAUUUUAAUCCACUCUGCCAGCCACUUCUGCUUUAUAGCACUAGAAGCUUGGUCUUAUUGUCGUUUCCACUUCACAGAAGUAGAAAAUGAGGCAAACAGAAGCAAACCCUGUCUGCCCUGUGACCAAACCUCCCUUUCCCAUCUGGGAGAUAAAGAAAG
This 567-nucleotide long non-coding RNA is filed under the name Monodelphis domestica (gray short-tailed opossum). RNAcentral describes it as "lncRNA (ENSMODG00000050916.1)". The record is from RNAcentral. Lineage: Eukaryota; Metazoa; Chordata; Mammalia; Didelphimorphia; Didelphidae.